UACGAAGGGGGCUAGCGUUGCUCGGAAUUACUGGGCGUAAAGCGCACGUAGGCGGUUUUCUAAGUCGGGGGUGAAAUCCUGGAGCUCAACUCCAGAACUGCCUUCGAUACUGGAGAGCUCGAGUCCGGGAGAGGUGAGUGGAACUGCGAGUGUAGAGGUGAAAUUCGUAGAUAUUCGCAAGAACACCAGUGGCGAAGGCGGCUCACUGGCCCGGUACUGACGCUGAGGUGCGAAAGCGUGGGGAGCAAACAGG
RNAcentral lists this ribosomal RNA (253 nucleotides) under uncultured bacterium. RNAcentral's name for it is "partial 16S ribosomal RNA". It matches the Rfam family "Bacterial small subunit ribosomal RNA", at positions 524 to 776 of the family's 1533-position model. The record is from RNAcentral.